GAUGAACGCUGGCGGCGUGCCUAAUACAUGCAAGUCGAGCGAACAGACGAGGAGCUUGCUCCUCUGACGUUAGCGGCGGACGGGUGAGUAACACGUGGAUAACCUACCUAUAAGACUGGGAUAACUUCGGGAAACCGGAGCUAAUACCGGAUAAUAUAUUGAACCGCAUGGUUCAAUAGUGAAAGACGGUUUUGCUGUCACUUAUAGAUGGAUCCGCGCCGCAUUAGCUAGUUGGUAAGGUAACGGCUUACCAAGGCGACGAUGCGUAGCCGACCUGAGAGGGUGAUCGGCCACACUGGAACUGAGACACGGUCCAGACUCCUACGGGAGGCAGCAGUAGGGAAUCUUCCGCAAUGGGCGAAAGCCUGACGGAGCAACGCCGCGUGAGUGAUGAAGGUCUUCGGAUCGUAAAACUCUGUUAUUAGGGAAGAACAAAUGUGUAAGUAACUGUGCACGUCUUGACGGUACCUAAUCAGAAAGCCACGGCUAACUACGUG
Molecule: ribosomal RNA, 497 nt
Filed under: uncultured bacterium
Lineage: Bacteria
Description: partial 16S ribosomal RNA
Rfam family: Bacterial small subunit ribosomal RNA
Source: RNAcentral